This 220-nucleotide long non-coding RNA is filed under the name Capsicum annuum. RNAcentral describes it as "long non-coding RNA (CANN_LNC000656)". The record is from RNAcentral. Lineage: Eukaryota; Viridiplantae; Streptophyta; Magnoliopsida; Solanales; Solanaceae.
CUUUUGUUUUCUCCUUAUUUUCUUCUUCUGCUUCAGCUAUCAUCUCCUCAUCUUCUUUUUUUUUUUUUUCUUCUUCUUCUUCUUCUUCUUCAUCUGUUGCAUUCUCCUCUUUAGUUUCUUCUUCUUUCUUCUCUUCUUCACCUUUUUCAUCUAUUGCUGCCAUGUUCAUCACUGCGACUGCAAGUUCUUCGAGGUUUACUUGAUGCCAGCUAAGAGGGGG